UUAAGCGACUAAGCGUACACGGUGGAUGCCCUGGCAGUCAGAGGCGAUGAAGGACGUGCUAAUCUGCGAAAAGCGUCGGUAAGGUGAUAUGAACCGUUAUAACCGGCGAUGUCCGAAUGGGGAAACCCAGUGCAAUUCGUUGCACUAUCGUUAACUGAAUACAUAGGUUAACGAGGCGAACCGGGGGAACUGAAACAUCUAAGUACCCCGAGGAAAAGAAAUCAACCGAGAUUCCCCCAGUAGCGGCGAGCGAACGGGGAGCAGCCCAGAGUCUGAAUCAGCUUGUGUGUUAGUGGAACGGUCUGGAAAGUCCGACGGUACAGGGUGAUAGUCCCGUACACCAAAAUGCACAGGCUGUGAACUCGAAGAGUAGGGCGGGACACGUGGUAUCCUGUCUGAAUAUGGGGGGACCAUCCUCCAAGGCUAAAUACUCCUGACUGACCGAUAGUGAACCAGUACCGUGAGGGAAAGGCGAAAAGAACCCCGGCGAGGGGAGUGAAAAAGAACCUGAAACCGUGUACGUACAAGCAGUGGGAGCACCUUCGGGUGUGACUGCGUACCUUUUGUAUAAUGGGUCAGCGACUUAUAUUCUGUAGCAAGGUUAACCGUAUAGGGGAGCCGCAGGGAAACCGAGUCUUAACUGGGCGUUAAGUUGCAGGGUAUAGACCCGAAACCCGGUGAUCUAGCCAUGGGCAGGUUGAAGGUUGGGUAACACUAACUGGAGGACCGAACCGACUAAUGUUGAAAAAUUAGCGGAUGACUUGUGGCUGGGGGUGAAAGGCCAAUCAAACCGGGAGAUAGCUGGUUCUCCCCGAAAGCUAUUUAGGUAGCGCCUCGUGAACUCAUCUUCGGGGGUAGAGCACUGUUUCGGCUAGGGGGUCAUCCCGACUUACCAACCCGAUGCAAACUACGAAUACCGAAGAAUGUUAUCACGGGAGACACACGGCGGGUGCUAACGUCCGUCGUGAAGAGGGAAACAACCCAGACCGCCAGCUAAGGUCCCAAAGUCAUGGUUAAGUGGGAAACGAUGUGGGAAGGCACAGACAGCCAGGAUGUUGGCUUAGAAGCAGCCAUCAUUUAAAGAAAGCGUAAUAGCUCACUGGUCGAGUCGGCCUGCGCGGAAGAUGUAACGGGGCUAAACCAUGCACCGAAGCUGCGGCAGCGACACUAUGUGUUGUUGGGUAGGGGAGCGUUCUGUAAGCCUGCGAAGGUGUGCUGUGAGGCAUGCUGGAGGUAUCAGAAGUGCGAAUGCUGACAUAAGUAACGAUAAAGCGGGUGAAAAGCCCGCUCGCCGGAAGACCAAGGGUUCCUGUCCAACGUUAAUCGGGGCAGGGUGAGUCGACCCCUAAGGCGAGGCCGAAAGGCGUAGUCGAUGGGAAACAGGUUAAUAUUCCUGUACUUGGUGUUACUGCGAAGGGGGGACGGAGAAGGCUAUGUUAGCCGGGCGACGGUUGUCCCGGUUUAAGCAUGUAGGCUGGUUAUCCAGGCAAAUCCGGAUAAUCAAGGCUGAGGUGUGAUGACGAGGCACUACGGUGCUGAAGUAACAAAUGCCCUGCUUCCAGGAAAAGCCUCUAAGCAUCAGGUAACAUCAAAUCGUACCCCAAACCGACACAGGUGGUCAGGUAGAGAAUACCAAGGCGCUUGAGAGAACUCGGGUGAAGGAACUAGGCAAAAUGGUGCCGUAACUUCGGGAGAAGGCACGCUGGUGUGUAGGUGAAGCCCCUGCGGGUGGAGCUGAGACCAGUCGAAGAUACCAGCUGGCUGCAACUGUUUAUUAAAAACACAGCACUGUGCAAACACGAAAGUGGACGUAUACGGUGUGACGCCUGCCCGGUGCCGGAAGGUUAAUUGAUGGGGUUAUCCGUAAGGAGAAGCUCUUGAUCGAAGCCCCGGUAAACGGCGGCCGUAACUAUAACGGUCCUAAGGUAGCGAAAUUCCUUGUCGGGUAAGUUCCGACCUGCACGAAUGGCGUAAUGAUGGCCAGGCUGUCUCCACCCGAGACUCAGUGAAAUUGAACUCGCUGUGAAGAUGCAGUGUACCCGCGGCAAGACGGAAAGACCCCGUGAACCUUUACUAUAGCUUGACACUGAACAUUGAGCCUUGAUGUGUAGGAUAGGUGGGAGGCUUUGAAGCGUGGACGCCAGUCUGCGUGGAGCCAACCUUGAAAUACCACCCUUUAAUGUUUGAUGUUCUAACGUUGGCCCCUGACCGGGGUUGCGGACAGUGUCUGGUGGGUAGUUUGACUGGGGCGGUCUCCUCCCAAAGCGUAACGGAGGAGCACGAAGGUUAGCUAAUCCUGGUCGGACAUCAGGAGGUUAGUGCAAUGGCAUAAGCUAGCUUGACUGCGAGCGUGACGGCGCGAGCAGGUGCGAAAGCAGGUCAUAGUGAUCCGGUGGUUCUGAAUGGAAGGGCCAUCGCUCAACGGAUAAAAGGUACUCCGGGGAUAACAGGCUGAUACCGCCCAAGAGUUCAUAUCGACGGCGGUGUUUGGCACCUCGAUGUCGGCUCAUCACAUCCUGGGGCUGAAGUAGGUCCCAAGGGUAUGGCUGUUCGCCAUUUAAAGUGGUACGCGAGCUGGGUUUAGAACGUCGUGAGACAGUUCGGUCCCUAUCUGCCGUGGGCGCUGGAGAAUUGAGGGGGGCUGCUCCUAGUACGAGAGGACCGGAGUGGACGCAUCACUGGUGUUCGGGUUGUCAUGCCAAUGGCACUGCCCGGUAGCUAAAUGCGGAAGAGAUAAGUGCUGAAAGCAUCUAAGCACGAAACUUGCCCCGAGAUGAGUUCUCCCUGAGACUUUAAGUCUCCUGAAGGAACGUUAAAGACGAUGACGUUGAUAGGCCGGGUGUGUAAGCGCAGCGAUGCGUUGAGCUAACCGGUACUAAUGAACCGUGAGGCUUAACCUU
This 2900-nucleotide ribosomal RNA is filed under the name Klebsiella pneumoniae. Its description in RNAcentral is "bacterial LSU rRNA". It matches the Rfam family "Bacterial large subunit ribosomal RNA". The record is from RNAcentral. RNAcentral also lists the same sequence under 1 other name. Lineage: Bacteria; Pseudomonadati; Pseudomonadota; Gammaproteobacteria; Enterobacterales; Enterobacteriaceae.